AGCGAACGCUGGCGGCAGGCCUAACACAUGCAAGUCGAACGAACUCUUCGGAGUUAGUGGCGGACGGGUGAGUAACACGUGGGAACGUGCCUUUAGGUUCGGAAUAACUCAGGGAAACUUGUGCUAAUACCGAAUGUGCCCUACGGGGGAAAGAUUUAUCGGGGUAUGAUGAGCCCGCGUUGGAUUAGCUAGUUGGUGGG
Molecule: ribosomal RNA, 200 nt
Filed under: uncultured bacterium
Lineage: Bacteria
Description: partial 16S ribosomal RNA
Rfam family: Bacterial small subunit ribosomal RNA
Source: RNAcentral